GAUGAACGCUGGCGGCGUGCCUAACACAUGCCAGUCGAGCGAAGCACUUACUUUAGAUUUCCUCGGAAUGACGAAGUUUGUGACUGAGCGGCGGACGGGUGAGUAACGCGUGGGCAACCUGCCCUGUACAGGGGGAUAACAGUUAGAAAUGACUGCUAAUACCGCAUAAGCCCACAGCUUCGCAUGAAGCAGUGGGAAAAACUCCGGUGGUACAGGAUGGGCCCGCGUCUGAUUAGCUAGUUGGUAAGGUAACGGCUUACCAAGGCGACGAUCAGUAGCCGACCUGAGAGGGUGACCGGCCACAUUGGGACUGAGACACGGCCCAAACUCCUACGGGAGGCAGCAGUGGGGAAUAUUGCACAAUGGGGGAAACCCUGAUGCAGCGACGCCGCGUGAGCGAUGAAGUAUUUCGGUAUGUAAAGCUCUAUCAGCAGGGAAGAAAGUGACGGUACCUGACGAAGAAGCCCCGGCUAACUACGUG
RNAcentral lists this ribosomal RNA (481 nucleotides) under uncultured bacterium. RNAcentral describes it as "partial 16S ribosomal RNA". It matches the Rfam family "Bacterial small subunit ribosomal RNA", at positions 28 to 507 of the family's 1533-position model. The record is from RNAcentral.